UGUACGUAUCAUUCUCUUGGACUGGUGGCAAGGUCCGCUGCUCAAACAGUUAACUUUUUUCUGACAAAGCAGUGACUGUGUUUGGAAUUCCAAAUAUAAAGGAUACUCACUUUCUCCAUUUCUGAGGGAAACUUGGGCUCUCAGCCAGGUCAGUCGUCUGCCAGAUACUGAGCUUGCAAUAGUACAUUUGGGGCUGGAUAGAAGACAUAGGGAGGGAAGAGAAGAGAUGGGAGGAACACAAGGGAAAUAGGAGAGAGGUGUGGUAGGGUGACUUUGCAGGACAAAAUCCACCAAUGAAGAAUGAGGCCUAAUCUGCUGACGAGAGCAGCAAAUGAGACAGGAGACUAGCUCUACCCAUCUCUGCUGCCAAUGGCUGAAUGACUUAGGACCUGGCCUGCAGCUUCUUCUGCCUGGAAAGACUGAGCUAUUUUGGAACUGAACCAAUUACCAAUUAAGAGCAGCAAGACCCUUAGGCUGAUCCUUACAAUGUACAAUGCUGGAGUUAAACUGACACGUGUGAGAAAGGUGUGAGCUCUUGACUGGGACAAAGCAGUUUCCACGUCUCACAUGGCGAUGUCCACGGCUUUCACAGAGAGGUUGACAGUGAAAGGGAAGGCAGGAUCAGGAACCAAGGACUGCUCCUCUCAUCAUCAUCCAUGGAAAAGCAUCAUUCCAGGGGCUUCCCAGCUACUUCCUCUCACCUCAUGGUUCAUCUGUAAUCACUCAGCCUCCAAGGUUGGAAAGACACAGGCUGAAGAAGUACCAUGAUUUCCUGUUCCUUACCACCAAAGACCUAUUUAUUAUUAUUUUCCUCAGACUUGGAUC
Rattus norvegicus (Norway rat) is the source of this 825-nucleotide non-coding RNA. Lineage: Eukaryota; Metazoa; Chordata; Mammalia; Rodentia; Muridae. The record is from RefSeq and is a predicted model, not a curated record.